GAUGAACGCUAGCGGCAGGCUUAACACAUGCAAGUCGAGGGGCAGCACGGGUAGCAAUACCUGGUGGCGACCGGCGCAAGGGUGCGUAACGCGUGAGCAACAUGCCCUAUACAGGGGGAUAAUCCAGGGAAACUUGGUCUAAUAUCCCAUAGUAUUUAGAGGAGGCAUCUUCUAUAAAUUAAAGCUUCGGUGGUAUAGGAUUGGCUCGCGUGACAUUAGCUAGAUGGUGAGGUAACGGCUCACCAUGGCAAUGAUGUCUAGGGGUUCUGAGGGGAAGGCCCCCCACACUGGGACUGAGACACGGCCCAGACUCCUACGGGAGGCAGCAGUGAGGAAUAUUGGACAAUGGAUGGAAAUCUGAUCCAGCCAUGCCGCGUGCAGGAAGACAGCCCUAUGGGUUGUAAACUGCUUUUAUAUGGGAGCAAUAAGGUCUACGUGUAGACUGAUGAGAGUACCAUAUGAAUAAGC
RNAcentral lists this ribosomal RNA (468 nucleotides) under uncultured bacterium. RNAcentral's name for it is "bacterial SSU rRNA". It matches the Rfam family "Bacterial small subunit ribosomal RNA", at positions 28 to 491 of the family's 1533-position model. The record is from RNAcentral.